UACGUAGGGUGCAGGCGUUAAUCGGAAUUACUGGGCGUAAAGCGUGCGCAGGCGGUCUCUUAAGACAGGUGUGAAAUCCCCGGGCUUAACCUGGGAACUGCGCUUGUAACUGAGAGGCUAGAGUGUGGCAGAGGGGGGUGGAAUUCCGCGUGUAGCAGUGAAAUGCGUAGAGAUGCGGAGGAACACCGAUGGCGAAGGCAGCCCCCUGGGCUGACACUGACGCUCAGGCACGAAAGCGUGGGGAGCAAACAGG
This 253-nucleotide ribosomal RNA is filed under the name uncultured bacterium. Its description in RNAcentral is "partial 16S ribosomal RNA". It matches the Rfam family "Bacterial small subunit ribosomal RNA", at positions 524 to 776 of the family's 1533-position model. The record is from RNAcentral.